GACCUUCCGAUUAACAGGCAACCUGCGCUACUUCCUGAGCCACAGCCGCUCCAUGGUGUUUGACAUUUAUUAAAGAUAACGUUAGACAUUCACAGGAAGAGAAACAUUUACUGUAACAACAAGCCACUUUGUGACAAAGUGGUACAUGACAGGUUUUCAUGCAUUGCAUGCACCUCCAAAUACUGCUUUUAAACACUAUAAUAUUCUUUGUGGGGUUCAUCAAUGGUGAUAAAUAAUUUGAAGUAUAUAUGAACGUGAAAGAGUCUUUAAUAUUUUAAUAAACUUAGUAGACGUACCAUUCCUUGACAUUCAGUAAAUGUAUAUGUGGUGAUAAAGGUUCCAUAAUUCGGCAGAUCAAAUUUUGUAGGCUAUCUGCCGAGAUUUGCAUCCACAUAAAUGACCGUUAUCACUCGCGAGGUGGAUGCAAUUCUCGGCAGGCAGGCUGAACAACACCGGCAAUAUUUCUCUCCAACGUGCGCUCACUGUGCAACAAACUGGAUGAACUUCAGCUUCUGUGAUCGGUUCUUGUUGUUCUGAUGCCUCCAUGUCUGCUACACACAACUUAAACUAUGUUGUUAUUCCUGUCUUUGUGGAGGACUCGACACACCAUGCUCAGCUUCUCUAGGGACCCACGGUAACCCCAUCAAGGACCUCUGACCACACUUUGAGAACCACUGCUCUAGGUACUGCUGUUCAGCUUCCAAUUCUGCCAGUUUUAUAUUUCAGCUGCCAGGUUUUUCAGUAGUUCAGUUAAUGCAUUUGAGCUUCAAGAUUCUUCAGGCAAUUCAUUUCACUUUUCUGUAUUUCCAGCAAUGCUGUCAAAAUAAAGUUUGUUCGCAUUUUCUGCACUUUCUGCAAUGUGUUGUCGGAGAACUAGAAAAGCUCUACAAGUACACUCCAUUGACCAUCUUACUGCAAUAUAAAAUAGAUACCCUGAUAUCAUUGAGAUAAUGAAGCAUCUCAGAAGCUGGAUGUGGCAUCUACAUUUAUACAGUACUGCAUAUAUUGUUUUGAACAAUGACACAUUGACUUACUGAUGGAAGUACUGAAGUGUGUUUGGACUGUGAUGUAAACCGUUUGGUUUAGGACAAAAAAUGAACAAACUACAGUACAUAGUCAGUGACUGGGAAUCUUUAAAUUAGUAUUGAAUAUAUUAAAUAUAAGCAGGGGGCCUAGUAUACAGGUCCGUCAUGUGUGGAGGGCCCGAUAAGAUUAGAUUUUCUUUUAGCUUGUUGGCUAAUCUUCUAAUAGCCCAUAUUAAAAACAUUUCAGCAUUCAAUAAUUCAUAAAUAAUUUAUCAUUUAAAGCAUACUUGGAUACACACACAUAUAACAUACACACAUACUGUAAUGCACCUACAUAUAUGCACAUAUUAAUCAACAUGUGUUAUUAUUGUUAUUAUAAUCAUUAACAUUACGAUGGUUACCAUUAACACUAUUAUAAAUAUCUGUACCAUUUUUCAUUUAGUCUAUAGCAACAUCACCUUCA
Micropterus salmoides (largemouth bass) is the source of this 1488-nucleotide long non-coding RNA. RefSeq lists it as uncharacterized. Lineage: Eukaryota; Metazoa; Chordata; Actinopteri; Centrarchiformes; Centrarchidae. The record is from RefSeq and is a predicted model, not a curated record. The transcript has 4 exons.